Molecule: non-coding RNA, 107 nt
Filed under: Lachnospiraceae bacterium TWA4
Lineage: Bacteria; Bacillati; Bacillota; Clostridia; Lachnospirales; Lachnospiraceae
Also listed under: 1 other name
Description: TPP riboswitch aptamer (THI element)
Rfam family: TPP riboswitch aptamer (THI element)
About the family: Vitamin B(1) in its active form thiamin pyrophosphate (TPP) is an essential coenzyme that is synthesised by coupling of pyrimidine and thiazole moieties in bacteria. The previously detected thiamin-regulatory element, thi box was extended, resulting in a new, highly conserved RNA secondary structure, the THI element, which is widely distributed in eubacteria and also occurs in some archaea.
Source: Rfam by way of RNAcentral
UAUAGUUUAUAGGGGAGCUGAUUAAAUUGGCUGAGAGGAAAUUGUAAAUUUCGACCCUUUAACCUGAUGCGGAUAAUGCCGCCGUAGGAAAUCAUAAGUUAUUUCGA